AUUGAACGCUGGCGGCAGGCCUAACACAUGCAAGUCGAGCGGAUGAAGGGAGCUUGCUCCUGGAUUCAGCGGCGGACGGGUGAGUAAUGCCUAGGAAUCUGCCUGGUAGUGGGGGAUAACGUCCGGAAACGGGCGCUAAUACCGCAUACGUCCUGAGGGAGAAAGUGGGGGAUCUUCGGACCUCACGCUAUCAGAUGAGCCUAGGUCGGAUUAGCUAGUUGGUGGGGCAAAGGCCUACCAAGGCGACGAUCCGUAACUGGUCUGAGAGGAUGAUCAGUCACACUGGAACUGAGACACGGUCCAGACUCCUACGGGAGGCAGCAGUGGGGAAUAUUGGACAAAGGGCGAAAGCCUGAUCCAGCCAUGCCGCGUGUGUGAAGAAGGUCUUCGGAUUGUAAAGCACUUUAAGUUGGGAGGAAGGGCAGUAAGUUAAUACCUUGCUGUUUUGACGUUACCAACAGAAUAAGCACCGGCUAACUUCGUG
RNAcentral lists this ribosomal RNA (484 nucleotides) under uncultured bacterium. RNAcentral's name for it is "partial 16S ribosomal RNA". It matches the Rfam family "Bacterial small subunit ribosomal RNA", at positions 30 to 507 of the family's 1533-position model. The record is from RNAcentral.